GAUGAACGCUGACAGAAUGCUUAACACAUGCAAGUCGAUGGGGAAGUGGUGCUUGCACCAUGGUAACCAUGGCGGACGGGUGAGUAACGCGUAAGGAACUUGCCUGCGGGACCGGGAUAACAGCAGGAAACUGCUGACAAGACCGGAUAAGGUCAUUAAGCUGCAUAGCUUAGUGAUGAAAGGAGACGCCUGCGGAGAGCCUUGCGUCCUAUUAGCUAGUUGGAGGGGUAACGGCCCACCAAGGCGAAGAUAGGUAGCCGGCCUGAGAGGGUGGACGGCCACAAGGGGACUGAGAUACGGCCCUUACUCCUACGGGAGGCAGCAGUGGGGAAUAUUGGACAAUGGGGGCAACCCUGAUCCAGCAAUUCUGUGUGCACGAAGACGGUUUUCGGAUUGUAAAGUGCUUUCAGCAGGGAAGAAGUAAGUGACGGUACCUGCAGAAGAAGCGACGGCUAAAUACGUGCCAGCAGCCGCGGUAAUACGUAUGUCGCGAGCGUUAUCCGGAAUUAUUGGGCAUAAAGGGCAUCUAGGCGGCCUUUCAAGUCAGGGGUGAAAACCUGCGGCUCAACCGCAGGCCUGCCUUUGAAACUGAUAGGCUGGAGUACCGGAGAGGUGGACGGAACUGCACGAGUAGAGGUGAAAUUCGUAGAUAUGUGCAGGAAUGCCGAUGAUGAAGAUAGUUCACUGGACGGUAACUGACGCUGAAGUGCGAAAGCCGGGGGAGCGAACAGG
Molecule: ribosomal RNA, 732 nt
Filed under: uncultured Leptotrichia sp.
Lineage: Bacteria; Fusobacteriati; Fusobacteriota; Fusobacteriia; Fusobacteriales; Leptotrichiaceae
Description: bacterial SSU rRNA
Rfam family: Bacterial small subunit ribosomal RNA
Source: RNAcentral